AAUCAACGCUGGCGGCGUGCCUAACACAUGCAAGUCGAACGCGAGAGGGGCUUCGGCCCCGAUUGAGUGGCGAACGGGUGAGUAACGCGUGGGUGACCUACCUUCGAGUGGGGGAUAACGUCCCGAAAGGGACGCUAAUACCGCAUAACAUCCUGCUUUUGAAUGGGUGGAGAUCAAAGCCGGGGAUCGCAAGACCUGGCGCUUGAUGAGGGGCCCGNGUCUGAUUAGCUAGUUGGGAGGUAACGGCCCACCAAGGCAACGAUCAGUAUCCGGCCUGAGAGGGCGGACGGACACACUGGGACUGAGACACGGCCCAGACUCCUACGGGAGGCAGCAGUGGGGAAUUGUUCGCAAUGGGCGCAAGCCUGACGACGCAACGCCGCGUGGAGGAUGAAGGUC
RNAcentral lists this ribosomal RNA (399 nucleotides) under uncultured bacterium. Its description in RNAcentral is "bacterial SSU rRNA". It matches the Rfam family "Bacterial small subunit ribosomal RNA", at positions 29 to 416 of the family's 1533-position model. The record is from RNAcentral.